AAAUUGAAGAGUUUGAUCAUGGCUCAGAUUGAACGCUGGCGGCAGGCCUAACACAUGCAAGUCGAACGGUAACAGGAAGCAGCUUGCUGCUUCGCUGACGAGUGGCGGACGGGUGAGUAAUGUCUGGGAAACUGCCUGAUGGAGGGGGAUAACUACUGGAAACGGUGGCUAAUACCGCAUAACGUCGCAAGACCAAAGAGGGGGACCUUCGGGCCUCUUGCCAUCAGAUGUGCCCAGAUGGGAUUAGCUAGUUGGUGAGGUAACGGCUCACCAAGGCGACGAUCCCUAGCUGGUCUGAGAGGAUGACCAGCCACACUGGAACUGAGACACGGUCCAGACUCCUACGGGAGGCAGCAGUGGGGAAUAUUGCACAAUGGGCGCAAGCCUGAUG
This 391-nucleotide ribosomal RNA is filed under the name Salmonella enterica subsp. enterica serovar Muenchen. RNAcentral's name for it is "bacterial SSU rRNA". It matches the Rfam family "Bacterial small subunit ribosomal RNA", at positions 1 to 388 of the family's 1533-position model. Lineage: Bacteria; Pseudomonadati; Pseudomonadota; Gammaproteobacteria; Enterobacterales; Enterobacteriaceae. The record is from RNAcentral. RNAcentral also lists the same sequence under 1 other name.